GAUAUGAAUAACUACAGUGGGAUCGUUUGUUCGUGAUAGGUGAAGACUCGCAACAAAUGUAACCAGUAUAGCCGACAGUGUCUGGAUAAAGGUGACUUAUCUGUAAAGAAAACGUACAUUUUGAGAAUUCAUAUAGACUACUUUGGAGCUUAUAUCCAACUAACGACGGGAAAUUUACUCUUCUCUUUUGUAAACAGUUUUAAGUCUAUAUGAGAUCUGUCAUUUUGCUUUUUAUAUAAAGGCAUAAUGGUGACAACAACUUCUAAUAUAGGAUAUUGAUAUUUUAAAUGAAACCGUCAUGAUUCAAGAAGUGUUAGGGUUUUUAAUCGGGGAGAGACUUGAAGGAUCUAGACACCUCUCUUGCUGUCUGGAGUUGAACGGUGGCGACUUCCAAAUUGUUCCGGUGGUAACCUCAACAUCCUGCUUCCACCUGGAUAUACACAGCACCUGUUGUUAUUAUAAUUGAACAGUAUGGAGACUAUUGGGAAAUUCGAGUUCAACAGGAAAGACCUGAUUGGACAUGGUGCCUUUGCCGUGGUGUUCAAAGGGAGACAUAAGGAGAGGCAUGACAUGGAAGUAGCUGUGAAAUGUAUUAACAAGAAGAAUUUGGCAAAAUCCCAUUCCCUGUUAGGAAAAGAGAUUAAAAUAUUAAAGGAACUGAAACAUGAGAAUAUCGUUGGACUACUUGACUUCCAGGAAAUGGCUGGGUGUGUGUAUCUGGUCAUGGAGUACUGCAAUGGAGGAGAUUUGGCAGAAUACCUCCACUCUAAGGCUACUCUGAGUGAGGACACCAUCCGGAUCUUCCUCCAGCAGAUAGCUGGGGCCAUGAAGGUGCUGAAAGAAAAGGGCAUCCUCCACAGAGACCUCAAACCUCAGAACAUCCUCCUCUGUCACCCUGAGGGACGCAAGUCCAGCCCUAACAACACCUGCAUCAAGAUAGCUGAUUUUGGCUUUGCACGUCACCUCCAGUGUAACACUAUGGCAGCCACUCUGUGUGGCUCCCCAAUGUAUAUGGCCCCGGAGGUGAUCAUGUCCCAGAACUAUGAUGCCAAGGCCGACCUGUGGAGCAUAGGAACCAUAGUGUACCAGUGUUUAACUGGGAAAGCUCCCUUUCAGGCCAGUAGCCCCCAGGAGCUGCGCCUCUUCUAUGAGAGAAACAGGGACCUCCAGCCCAGCAUUCCACGGGAGACGUCAGUCCACCUGAGACACCUGCUCCUGGGCCUGCUGCAAAGGAACCAUAAGGAGCGCAUGGACUUUGAUGAGUUUUUCCAUCACUCUUUCCUGGAGUCAAGUUCAUCCACAAAGAAAUCCUCUCCGGUGCCCAUGCCCUCCUACCCCAGCUCUGGGUCUGCCAGCUCCUCUAGCAGCUCCUCCACCUUUCACCUGGCCUCCUCCCCUCAACAUUCCGAUGCGGUGCUGCAGAGACUCCAGCCCAAGGCCGAGCCCACCCCUUCCCGGUACACAGCCCUCCACUACAGCAGGAACACCUCCUCUGAGAUGGAUGACUUUGUCAUGGUGCCUGCCCAGUUCCCCAGUGAGAUCACAUGUGACAUGGGAGAUGGGUCACCUGUCCAGGGCAGCAUGUUGUACAGUGGGAGCUCUCUGCUGGCUGCUGGGGUACUUGGGAGUCUAGGCAGGACACCACCCCCCUCUUCACCCCUCUGCCCCCCUAAUCCUGUUAGCAGGCCUGCAGAGUUCAAUGGGAGUAACUACAGCCAGUCUGUACCCAUUCCUGUCCCAACACAGAUCCACAACUACCAGCGCAUAGAACAAAACCUACACCCCGCUGGCCUGCAUGGCUCAACCAGGGCCACCCUUUGCUGUGUUGAUAGUAGUAGUGGCAGUUCCCCAGGGAGUAGGAAGACUGGAGCCUCCCUUCUCCCAUCAGGCCCCGGGGGGGCAGUGCUCAUCCACCGCAGGCUAUCAGCUGGAGGGGCCAAACCCUACCAGCCCUCUCCACAAGUGGGCACUAUCCCAGAGACCCCAGAGCAGACUGGCCUCUUCAGCACCUGGACAGGACAACAGAGCCCUCAGGCCACGCCUCCACAUGAAUUCCCCCGGCCCACCAGCUUUGAGGAUUUGCCCAUCAUUCCCACCCGAACACGGACGGUAUCAGACUUGAGCCACAUCAGCAGGGCCGCAGGGAAGAGGAAGGGCCCCUUCAAAAGGUCUCUGAGUGCAGGCCGUCUGUCUGACAUGAUGCUAAAGGCUGCUUUUGGAGCUCAGCUGCUGGAUGGAGGAAGUAACGAGAGCCUUCCCACUGAGAGGUCCAUGGACACCACAGCUCCAACUAGUGGUGCUCUGAGGGUUGCAGGAACCUCAGCCUCAGGCAGUCCCACCUCAGUCGUGUUCACUGGGGGAUCUCCAUCCAGAGGAAAUGCCGGGACCCCACCAAAUCCCACCAGGACGUUCUCAGCAGUGGGUUCCCCCAGCUAUGUCAGCCCAUCCUGGUCAAUCAGCAGAGGAACCCAUAGAGAUGUACCUAACUACCAGCAUAUUACCCACCCCAAGACAGCCAGCCCAGACAGGGCCAUAGAUUUUGACCCUCCAGAGCUCCCAGAGGAGACACUGAUGGGGCAGUGGCAUACGGAUGGCCUGAGAAACCUGCGCUUCACUCUUGCCUUUGUCCACUGUGUCAUGGAGAUAGCCAGUUCUAAAGACACUGGACUUGAGAGUGAGACCAGUGAGGAUGCUCCUGAUGUGUCUUUCCUGCAGCAAAGCCUGGUGGCUGAUCAGAUCAGUCUUCUAAGUCGGGAGUGGGGCUAUGCAGAGCAGUUGGUGCUGUACAUGAAGGCUGCAGAAUAUCUUUCGUCUGCAUUACACACUGCUAUGGAGGACAUCAAAGAAGGCAGACUCUUCCCCUCCUCUACAGUCAAGCAAGGUGAGACACGGGACCAUAUUUUCCUCUUCUCAUUGAUGUGUGCAAAAAAAAAGGCAAUUAAAUCCUGUUAAUCCCGAGAGUUUCGAUUUCCCCGCGGCCCCGUGGAAAUUUAAUUAGCAUAAUUUUUUACAUCCCCAUCAAAAUCGGUCAGUUUAAGCAAUAGAUAUCUGUUUUUUUUUGCAUUGGAUGCGUCUCAAUCCAACGCAUCUGCAGAUGUUGCACUUCCACAUCUGCAGAGCUAGAUGAUCGGUCUUCUCACGAAAACGUCUGUAGCAUUCAAAUGGUUUGGCCUACAGGCUAUUGGAAAGAUGAGACUCUCACGAUCACGAUGGUGUUUCUCCGUUUUGCUCUACGACCCCCACAAGCGUCUUGGGAUUCUUUUGAAAUCGGUACAGCUGAUCUUCCAACUUCUGUCUGUAGUGUCCGAACAAUUUGGGCUACACACCUUCUGUGGAAAGUGAUGAAGAAGAUGAAUGAGCUGUAUAAGAGCAGUGUGACGUCCUGUCGGUCCCUCAACGCCCGCCUGCAGAGCUUCCUCCUCAACAAGCAGAGACUGAUGGACCACAUGAGCAACAUCACUGCAGAGAAACUCAUCUACAGUCACACCGUGACCAUGGUGCAGUCAGCAGCCCUAGAUGAGAUGUUCCACCGUGGCCAGGCGCCCAUACAGAGAUACCAUAAAGCCCUUCUGCUCAUGGAGGGCUUGUCCCUUACCAUCACAGAGCAGGUAGACAUCGACAACAUAAGUAAAUGUAAACAGUGUAUUGAGAGACGCCUCCUCUCUGCUCUGCAGACUGCACAGUGUGAUUGAGCUUAAGGCUUUUGGACUAUAGCUACAAUAUUAGCUGAACCUCUGAGCUUGGUUAGAGCACCUCCAGACCUCUGAUGUCCCUCUGAUGUCCCUCUGUCCUAUGUGAAGAUGGAGCUCCUUGGACUGUUGACACACAUAAGCACUUUGAACUGAACAUGCUCAGUAACAAGGCCACUGAUAUGGCUGCUAUCAACCCACAGCCUAGCACUAAACAUUUUUAGUACCAGAAGAGAGGAGAAGAAGAGUGGGUUUGGUUCUGUCGGACUCCACUCUGAGAGCAGUGUGUGUUAUGUUACUGUUAAUCUACUGGAUUUAUCAGGCAUCACUGGACAAAAUUAUUAUUUUCAUCUCAAAUUAGCUCAUUUUACUUGAAAUAGUUGUUUGAGAGUAAAUAGAUGUCUGAGAGUGUAAUUUAAUGUACAGAAGGUGGCACUCAAUAAUAGAAGGGAAUUCGGUAAAUAUCUUUGGUACCAGCUGGUGUUAUAUUUAAAGAUGCACUAUGCAGAAAUCGCUCCACCAUUUCAGUUUAUGGAAUAAAAGAAGCAAGUAUAGUCUAGAGAAUCAUUGUACUAUUUAAACUGCUGUGAAAAAUAUUUUCCAUAACCAAAAAUAUUGUACUUUCAGCUGUUUGAGGCUGGUGUACAAAACCAAAAGUAAAAGACACAAAAACGAAACUUAAGAACGGGCUGAAUAGCACACAUAGAACAGAUCUACUGCGUAUUAAACUUGCUUUCAAUGACAACGUCAGACAGAUCUAUAACACACAUUUCUAUGUGAAUUUGGUCUUCGCCCAAAAUGUUACAAAUUGCAGCUUUAAACUGGAGGCAAAAAUAUGCAUCAUUUUCGGGAGUUGGAAAGUUGUGUAAGAGAAAGUGAAGACCAAGUAUUGCCAAUUUGUAGCAGAUUAUUUGACUGUCUUUUUUAAAAACUGCUUUUAGCAAUGUGUAUGUUUUUGACAAGCCACUGUAGCACAAAUACAUUUAUGAUAGACUUAUUCAUAAACUGUUAGGAACUUGUCAGAGAAUGUCAUUACUGUAUUGUCGAGAUCUUAAUCUUCUGUAAAGAGUGUCAAAUUUCAAGCCACUCUUUCCCAGUGUUCCCAGCAAGAUGGUCAUUUUACUCAGCGAGCACCACAUCGAGCUGCAUGCUUUUGUCUGUUUUUGCACAAAUAUUAGUGAAUGAUCAGUAAUGUAUAGGCUUGUGGAUGAGGCAAAUAAAUGGCUGAAAUAGGUUCAACUUCAGUACAGAAAACCUGUCCUGUAUUUUAUAUUUUUAGUAAGAUUUUGUAUAAAUCUGGGGGGUUUGUUUUGUGUGGAGUGGUUGGUUUUAAUAUUUCGUUUUUUAUGACUGCCUUGUGGCUAUACAUUUGAAUGAACCUAUUUCUGUUUUUACAUUCAAUGAAAAUGGUAUCAGCUUUCCGAAUUACUUUUUGACUAGGCACCUUUUGAAUAUUAAAUUAUAAUUAUAUUGCAAUUAUAUUGCAAAAUAUUGUAAUUAUUUUGACUGUAUGUUAUUUUUGUUCACCAAAACCGAGCUGCCAAAAUCAGUUUCAUAUGAGAAUAUUGUGUAAGAAUGAUUAAAAUAUAUGUUACAUUA
Molecule: RNA transcript, 5288 nt
Organism: Oncorhynchus kisutch (coho salmon)
Lineage: Eukaryota; Metazoa; Chordata; Actinopteri; Salmoniformes; Salmonidae
Gene: ulk1a
Gene name: unc-51 like autophagy activating kinase 1a
Exons: 27
Source: RefSeq, a predicted model, not a curated record